Amborella trichopoda is the source of this 200-nucleotide non-coding RNA. The record is from Rfam. Lineage: Eukaryota; Viridiplantae; Streptophyta; Magnoliopsida; Amborellales; Amborellaceae.
GACUUGCGGAGGGAGCUCUCUUUAGUCCACCUAUGGUUGGUGUCUAGGGGUCGAAUUAUCUGCCGACUCAUUCAUUCAAAUAAUUGGUAGAAAGGCCGUGAUUUUUCUCUCUACUCUUUAAAUUUGUGAAUGAUGCGGGAGAUAAAUUUCACCCUUGCCUCACCAUUCUUGGACUGAAGGGAGCUCCCUCUCUCUCUCUC